This 460-nucleotide ribosomal RNA is filed under the name uncultured bacterium. RNAcentral describes it as "partial 16S ribosomal RNA". It matches the Rfam family "Bacterial small subunit ribosomal RNA", at positions 338 to 795 of the family's 1533-position model. The record is from RNAcentral.
CCUACGGGUGGCAGCAGUGAGGAAUAUUGCUCAAUGGCCGGAACCCUGAACCAGCCAUGCCGCGUGAAGGCCAGCGUCCUUCUGGCUUUAAACUUCUUUUGUGCGGGAGCAAUAAUGGUCACGUGUGGCCAGACGAGAGUACCGUACGAAUAAGCAUCGGCUAACUCCGUGCCAGCAGCCGCGGUAAUACGGGGGAUGCAAGCGUUAUCCGGAUUUAUUGGGUUUAAAGGGUGCGUAGGCUGUGAGGUAAGUCAGCGGUGAAAUGCCCCCGCUCAACGGGGUGAAGUGCCAUUGAUACUGGCUUGCUGGAAUGCGGAUGCCGUGGGAGGAAGGUGUGGUGUAGCGGUGAAAUGAAUAGAUAUCACACAGAACACCGAUUGCGAAGGCAUCUCACGAAUCCGCGAUUGACGCUGAUGCACGAAAGCGUGGGUAUCAAACAGGAUUAGAUACCCGAGUAGUC